Long non-coding RNA from Musa acuminata AAA Group (dessert banana), 4929 nucleotides. RefSeq lists it as uncharacterized. NCBI's taxonomy places the organism in Eukaryota, Viridiplantae, Streptophyta, Magnoliopsida, Zingiberales, Musaceae. The record is from RefSeq and is a predicted model, not a curated record. The transcript is spliced from 4 exons.
AUUGAAAUGCGGCAACACAAAAUCAUUUUCAAUUUCAGAAUCUGGUGUUCUGAAGCUGUCUGCUGCUGACCAUGCCUCGUCCGAUGAAUCGAUGGGCUCUCCAAAGGACGUCGCCCUUUGUUGCUGCUUCUUCUCCCAGGCUUCCCUUGUUGGCACGGCGGUCCGUAUCGGCCACUCUGUAUUCAUGCAUAAUCCAAUCGGUCUUCACUCCUCUCGGUGCUUUCCCGGAGUAAAAGACCAAGGCUUUCUUGAUUGCAAGAGUUGUCUUGCUCCCCUUGGUCGAGAUCGGCUUAUCAGCACCGGUCGCCUUCCAGUAUCCCUUCCCGGCAGACCGGUUCGGCCUCGAGCCGUUCGGGUACUUCCGGUCCCGAGUGCAGUACCUGGUAAUUCCCAAGGAUUGUACUUGUAUAGAUCAAUCUCGGCGAUGAUAGGGACGGGCAGGCGUUGGCAGGUUAUCUUCCGGCACAGGUAGUGCACGACGAGCUCUUCGUCGGAUGGGUGGAACCUGAAUCCCGGCGGCAGGUUGAGCUCGGCCUCCGCGUCUCUCUUCCUCGCCAUCCGUUGUCUCCUCUGCUGGCUGACAGCCAAGAAAUUCUGACCGUGGGACUCGCGACGACUGUCCGAGUCAACACGCCCGAGUCGGAGGGAACAAAACGUCGUACCGUCGACAAGCCUUCAGGAAAAGGGUUUGACAACCCCACCCCGGUGUCGAGCCCUUUUCCUUGACCCCUUUGUUUCCUCACACGCUGAUGAGUUAAGGACAGCUCAGCCGAGGAUAAGCGUUGCCUUGAACUUAAUAUUAUCGACGGUGCAUAUCUAAUUAAAAGUGAUAUAUUAUCGUAUAACAUUGAUAAAUAUUUGACCUACGAAUUAAUUUUCAUGAUCUAAAGAUUUUAAUGAAAUAGGGUGGUUUUGAAGCCUCCUGACCACAUCUGUCGUUAUGUAAAGAAAAUAAUUAAAAACCGAUCCGACACGUGUCCCGAUCAGAUGAUGUGGAUAUGUUCUGGUGCUUUCCGCAGGCGCGAUUCUGUUUGGUUGGAUCAUGCGGUGAUGAGGUAAUCCAGCUGUGUCGAUCAUUUUUGUGGCACAUUCUUGAUGUUGCAGUCCACCAUAAGCGUGCAUGUAGGCAAUUUAUAAAGGUUUGGUGAAGGAGCGGUGGUGGUCGUUUUAGUAGAUUGCUCGACUUCCGAAAAGAGGGAUUAUUAAAAGGAUGUUUCAAAAUCUACCAAAGAAUUUCCUGGUUUUUGAGUGAUAUUUCAAUUUCAAUUUGAUUUUUAGACAGCAAUUUUUACUAAUUCUUGAAAUUAAAGUUUUUCCUUGAAUCAUCUUUUCAAUCCAAAUUUUACACAUUUAUCCCAACAUAUGAUCAAAGGACGACACGAUUAGUGUUUUAUCCGGCAAUUUGAAAUGUGUCUCUGACUAGAAUCUGAUACGUGGAACACGAUUCGCGAAUCGGUGCGUUGAAGUGACACAUGUAUGGAUCAAUUCCUUACACAUGUAAGCUACCAUAAUUUACAUGUUGAGAUGGUGCCAGAAUUUGCUACUGAUAAGGUUGUGGCGGUAGAUGGGUUGGUGAUAACCGAGAACAGUUUGCCGCCUCGUACGUUAUGGAAACUAAAACAUGUAAUGCGAGGAAAAUAUGUUGUGUUUUAGAGGACACUUUGGUCAGCACCUGUAGUCCAUUGUCGGUACACUUAAAGCUAGUCCUUUUGGCUUCACCCAUGUGGAUGCGACGGUGAACAUUGCAAGGAUGGAAAUCUUAGAAGCGCGUUCAGUUAACGUGGCACUGGUGCAAGCACAAUCCGAGUCCGAUAGCGAUGUCAUCUACAGCGUUGCUCUUGAUUUGAUGUACAUUAAUUUCAGAGAAAGCAUAUGAUUCAUACAGUUUUUUUAUUUUUAUUUUUAUUUUUAUAAAGGGUAAAUGAUGACAGUGAGAUCCAAUCUUUAGACUAUGUUAUCAACAAUUAAGGUUUUCCCAUGCUAACCUCUUUAUCAAUCAACCAUCUAUGUGUCUAGGUUGAAAGGAGACAAAAGCUAUGCCUUAUCGAUCUGGCCCGUGGAUAUGGGUUAAUACUUAUGAGUUGUCUACACUUUUGUUAUCUAUGUGAAAAAAUAUCAAAUUAAGGGUGUUAAAAGCGGUUCAAAGUUAUCCCCUAAAAAAUAUUCUAUAAAAUGUCAUUCCUUUACUAUCAAGUAUAAAAAUUACUUUUAACAUAAUCUAGGGUCACUUUGUACUAUUGGCGAUUACACUCAUCUACUCCGGGUAAUUAAUUUAGGUGUCGAAGGGACUAGCUUAGGAAACCUCUCUCGACUUCGAUAUUUAUGUAGGUGGCAUCUUAGAUAAUCUUAUCGAGAGCUUGACAUUCUUACUAUUGUCACUCCUUUUUUGCCCCAUCUGGUCCAACAAACGAUGCUACCAACUCAGCUGCAAUCCUCGGCUCCACCGCUAUUGGCAUCCAUUGAGAUUCUCCAUCCCGACACGGUGUCGACAUCGCAGGAGCACCUGAGGGCCAUCUAAUCGUAGACUGAGGGGGUACUUUGGUCCCCGACCAUAGAAUUUAGCGGAUCAUACCACCCUCACUCUGCUCCCCUGAAUCCAAGACUAAGUCUGAUAGGGAUAAAAGUGGCCGGAUGACGCGCCAUGACGACAUCCCCCCAGGAAAGCAAUAACGCUGACAACUCCCACUGUCGUGCGACGACCUCCGACCUCGCACAGUUGACCACGGCAAAGCAGGACAACGACCUGCCCCCGCCCAUACCCUGCUGCAAGCUGCCCCGCCACGCGACCCCAGCGGCCGCGUCAGACACCAUCAGAGGCACCAUCUCACUCCAGCAGGUGGCCACGUCAGGUAAACGCUAAACCUAUCUAUAAAUACCCCCGAACUCUCAAGAGAAGGGGGAGGGAAACUCACUCAGACACAAAACACUCAGAGGCUCUUCUUCUGCCUCAUCCACAAUCCCCUCCACAUCUUUCUCUAACUUGAUCGUCGGAGGGGUCGGGCCGAGCUCCCGGCCCGACCUGUGUGCAGGUGCGAGACGGUGUCGCCUCUUCCCGAAGCUGCGGCGGAGCUGCCUCCCGACCCGAGCCGCCGACCCGAACCGCCGACCCGACCUGUCGAACCGACCUCGGAGCUGCCUCCCGACCCGAGCCGCCAACCCGAACCGCCGACCCGACCUGCCGAACCGACCUCCCGACCCGAACCACCGAGCUCGGCCGUCGGGAGACCUGGAGGAGCGCUCCCACGGAGAUCACCGCCUUCCGGACCCGAACCCAGCCGCGACGGCCCCGAGGCCACGGCUAAAAAAGUUACUUACCGUAACAAAGUCAGUAGACUUGACGGAGGGUUCCUUACAACAGAUGGACCAACGUUUGGAGGAGAUGCAACGAGAGUUCCAACAAUCAAAUGGGGAGGCGUCGAUCAACCCCACCUUAGGCUAGUCGUCAUUCACCCAGAAAAUCUAGUAGGAAUUGAUUCCAAUGAACUUUCGUCUCCUAUCCUUGGAAGCGUUCAAUGGGUGAAGGAGUUUGAACUUUACUUCCUUGGGAAUGUAUGCCCUUAGCCUUUAACGAUAACACUCCACGGACUUAAGCAGGAGGAGGAAGAAAUGCUCGCAGACUUCAUCGCUCGGUUCAUAAAUAAGAUCCGAGGCGUAAUAGAUGUCCAUCCAUCACUCAUAAUAUAUACCUUCAUGAUGGGGCUCAUGCCCUCUCGCCUCUUUUGGUCAUUGAUAAAGAGGUUAUUGGUAACUAUAUCUGAGGCACUUCAAAGGACCAAUCAAUACAUUGCUACCGAGGCAAUAGUCUCGGGCAAGCGUGAGAAGUCACGCAAGAAGUUAAAGCAGGAGUGACCACAAUCAGCCCCAACCCAAGGUCACCGUGAUGAAGAAGAAAUAAAUGACCCAACUUACCUCGCCCAAGGCCUGAGCUGACCUCUUUAAAUAUGACUAAAACCAAAGUUUUCCUACAAAUAUGGAAGGAGGGACUCUUAAGCAGCCCUCACCUAAUGAAAACCCUGUUCGUGAAAAGAGAUAAGUUUAAAUAUUUUCGGUUCCAUCGAGAUUAUGGCCAUGACACUGAAGAAUGUCAUGACCUGAAAGAGCAUAUUGAAGAGCUCAUACGGUAAGGGUACCUUGGGUGGUUUGUUCGAAAGCACCGGGAACCCUCACCUCGACCUCAAGGGCUGAUGGAGAGGUAGAUUGAGGGCAAUGGUGUCGACUUACCACAUUGUAACGGACAAACUUCUAAACAAGAUGUUGGAUGUAAUGCUUAUGUCUGUCCGUUGUCUUUUGGCAUGUUCAUGCCUUGUACAGCAGGUAGAGGGACGGCCGAAGGCUAAAUAGUCCCAUGUUAGUUGGGUUGGUGGCCUCUUUAGGCUUGUAAAUAAAGGUUGUGUCAUGUGGACACGUGCGAGAGCUUUUCGGUCUGUAAUGGACCAUUUUACCCUUUGUUGUGCAACUAUUCAGAGCUUGUAAAGUCUGUUUGUAAUUUGCAUUGUCUAUGAAGUGUUUUUCGGACAUGUUUGCUUGUGGAUCCCGAUUGAGGCGUUCUCUUUAACCCGUUCUCUCUUUUGUUGGUCCUAAGGGACAAUGGGAGGCUUCGGGGAGGCUGACCUUUGCGGACGGACGCGCGAGGGUGCCGCACGCCUUAGGCAAAAUCAGCUAAGGUCGUGACAAUAUGGUAUCAGAGCGGGACAAGCACUCAUAGAAACACUUGACAUGCAAACGUGGGGGACCUAGCGGGGCUGCGUUGAGGGCAGUCAGCACACGCGCGACCGUUUGAGGGAAAACGGGCAUGGAGAUGUAGGGAAAAGAGUCGCUCAGAGGAGCGAGCAUCCGAGAUUGGCAUUCAGAGGAAUGGCCAACCCUUCGCGCAAGAGGCACCACGAGAACAGGCAAGCUUGGUUGAAUUUGGAGCGCACAAAGGUUGGG